Molecule: ribosomal RNA, 429 nt
Filed under: Chloroflexota bacterium
Lineage: Bacteria; Bacillati; Chloroflexota
Description: Chloroflexi bacterium partial 16S ribosomal RNA
Rfam family: Bacterial small subunit ribosomal RNA
Source: RNAcentral
UGGGGAAUAUUGCACAAUGGGCGCAAGCCUGAUGCAGCCAUGCCGCGUGUAUGAAGAAGGCCUUCGGGUUGUAAAGUACUUUCAGUCGGGAGGAAGGUGGUAAGGUUCAUAACCUUAUCAAUUGACGUUACCGACAGAAGAAGCACCGACUAACUUCGUGCCAGCAGCCGCGGUUAUACGGAGGGUGCGAGUGUUAAUCGGCAUCACUGGGCGUAAAGCGCCUGCAGUCGGUUUGUUAAGUCAGAUGUGAAAUCCCCGGGCUAAACCUGGGAAAUGCAUCUGAUACUGGCUAGCUUGAGUCUCGUAGAGGGGGGUAGAAUUCUGGAUGUAGCGAUGAAAUGCGUAAAGAUCUGGAGGAAUACCGGUAGCGAAAGCGGCCACCUGAACGAAGACUGACGCUCAGGUGCGAAAGAGUGGGGAGCAAACAGG